RNAcentral lists this ribosomal RNA (567 nucleotides) under Bifidobacterium sp. RNAcentral's name for it is "bacterial SSU rRNA". It matches the Rfam family "Bacterial small subunit ribosomal RNA", at positions 147 to 712 of the family's 1533-position model. Lineage: Bacteria; Bacillati; Actinomycetota; Actinomycetes; Bifidobacteriales; Bifidobacteriaceae. The record is from RNAcentral.
CUCCUGGAAAACGGGUGGUAAUACCGGAUGCUCCGCCCCACCGCAUGGUGGGGUGGGAAAUGCUUUUUGCGGCAUGGGAUGGGGUCGCGUCCUAUCAGCUUGUUGGCGGGGUGAUGGCCCACCAAGGCGUUGACGGGUAGCCGGCCUGAGAGGGUGACCGGCCACAUUGGGACUGAGAUACGGCCCAGACUCCUACGGGAGGCAGCAGUGGGGAAUAUUGCACAAUGGGCGCAAGCCUGAUGCAGCGACGCCGCGUGCGGGAUGGAGGCCUUCGGGUUGUAAACCGCUUUUGUUCAAGGGCAAGGCACGGCUUCGGGCCGUGUUGAGUGGAUUGUUCGAAUAAGCACCGGCUAACUACGUGCCAGCAGCCGCGGUAAUACGUAGGGUGCGAGCGUUAUCCGGAUUUAUUGGGCGUAAAGGGCUCGUAGGCGGUUCGUCGCGUCCGGUGUGAAAGUCCAUCGCCUAACGGUGGAUCUGCGCCGGGUACGGGCGGGCUGGAGUGCGGUAGGGGAGACUGGAAUUCCCGGUGUAACGGUGGAAUGUGUAGAUAUCGGAAAAGAACACCCC